This 301-nucleotide ribosomal RNA is filed under the name uncultured bacterium. Its description in RNAcentral is "partial 16S ribosomal RNA". It matches the Rfam family "Bacterial small subunit ribosomal RNA", at positions 509 to 807 of the family's 1533-position model. The record is from RNAcentral.
CAGUCGCCGCGGUAAUACGUAGGUGGCAAGCGUUGUCCGGAAUUAUUGGGCGUAAAGGGCUCGCAGGCGGUUUCUUAAGUCUGAUGUGAAAGCCCCCGGCUCAACCGGGGAGGGUCAUUGGAAACUGGGAAACUUGAGUGCAGAAGAGGAGAGUGGAAUUCCACGUGUAGCGGUGAAAUGCGUAGAGAUGUGGUGGAACACCAGUGGCGAAGGCGACUCUCUGGUCUGUAACUGACGCUGAGGAGCGAAAGCGUGGGGAGCGAACAGGAUUAGAUACCCCUGUAGUCCCUGUCUCUUAUAC